UAUUGCUACUUAUAUGGGAAUUCUUUGGCUGUGCAGGUCGUUGCGAUUCAUCUGACUCUUCAUUCUACCCUGACCUUCUACAGGACUGUUCAUACACUGACUGCCAGAAAUCCCCAGCUCAGAUGCUAGGGCUGCCAGGCUUGAGAGUCAACUACUAGGACUCCGAAGUAGAGGGGAAUUCCCAUUGGGACACACAGCUCGAAGAACAAUCAUUAUUGCACAAGGUGAGUAACUUCUUCAAAUGGUGUCCAUAUGGAUGGCUCCACUGUAGGUGACUCCUGAGCAGUGCCCACCACUGGAGAUUGUGACUUUGGAGUCGAGUCGGAUAUGGACGAUAGUACUAUGGCACCAAAUUUGGAGUCUGAAGCCAAAUCCCCAGGAUGCCAUAGUGUUCUGCAAAGGUAUGUGCAGAUGCCCAGGUAACUGCUCUGCAGAUUUCUGAUAUAGGAAUACCCUGGACAAAGGAUGAGGAGACCAAUCUCGUAGAAUGCGUGCGUAUUGAAGAUAGGGGGGAGGGGCGGGUUACAUUACGCAAUUGGUAACAGAAUUUAAUACAGCCCAAGACCCACUUAGAGAGACAGUGAGAUGAAAUCACUGUGCCUUUUGACCUAUCUGCAAUGGAGAGGAGGAGUUUUGAAGAUUUUCUGAAGGUUCUUCUCACGCCGAGCAAAUAGAGGAUAGCUUCCCUAUUAUCCUUAUGAGGUUUGGGAUAAAAGGCUGGAAACUGAAUAAGCUAAUUUAUGUGAAGGCAGAAGUCAUGUUGGGAAUGAAUUUCAGAUGUUGUCUAAGCGUGACCUUGUCAGGGAAGAACCCAGUGAAAGGGGAAUGUGCCAUUGGAGCUUCUAUUUCCCCAAUCCUUCUUGCAGUGGUGAUGACGAUAAGAAACACCAUCCUCAUGGUAAGGUGAGUUAACGAACAAGUGGCCACGGGUUCAAAUGGUGGCCUAGUCAGACCUUUUAAUAGUAGGUUGCGAUCCUGUUGAAGUCUGGGUUGUGGGAAAAAGUUUGCUAUGCAUUUAAUAAACUUCUUCAUAGUCGGAUGGGAGAAGAUUGAAUAUCCUUGUCUGCUGAGGGAAGGUUGCAAUUGCUGCUAGGUGAAACAAUAGAGAGUCCCGAUUUCUUGAGAGUCAACAGGUAGUCUAUGAUCACUGGUAGGGUGGAUGUAUUAGGGAUGACACGUUUGGGAUGGCACCAGAUCUGGAAUCUCUUUCAUUUUUGUAGAUAGUUAUGGCAAGUAGCUCCUUUCCUACUGAGCAAUAACACAUCCUAUACCACCUCAGAGCAAGAUGUCUCUAUGUGCUGGAACCAUGAAGGAGCCAGACUUCGAGACACAGAAUCCACAGGUUGGGAUGGAGAGUGUCUCUCUCUUUCAGCGACAUAAGAUAAGGAGUGAUUGGAAGAGUCAUCGGUGGCCACAGUGCCAGCUGUGACAGGUAAGGGUACCACGUCUGUCUGGGCCAGGUGGGAGAAAUCAGUAUGUUUGCUCUCUUCACUUUCACCAGGACUUUCAAUAUUAGAGGGAAUGGGGGAAAAGCAUAAAGGAGGCCUUUGUCCCAUGGAAGGAGGAGGGCAUUUCCCAUGGAAUGUCGUCCGAUCCCCACUCUAGAGCAGUACUGUGGACACUGCUUGUUCUGGUAAGUAGUGAAUAGGUCUAUUACCAGUAUCCCCCAUUGUCAGAAUAUGUUGUGGAGUACCACCAAAUCUAUCUCCCAUUCGUGGUCAUGUGGGAAUUUGUGGAUGAGACUGUCUGCCGUCAUGUUGUGUAUUCCUGGUAAGUAGGCAGCUGAUAUUAAGAUACUGUGGGAGAUGCACCAGUUCCACAGUUUUAGUGCUUCUACACACAGGGAAUGAGACCUUUUGCCUACAUGAUGGUUUGUGUAAUACAUGCAGGCCAUAUUAUCUGUCAUGACCCUUUUGUGCAUGUCUUUGAUCAGCAGGAGGAAGCAAGUGCACGUGUUGAUCUCUCGCCUGGAGACCAUUUGUCCUGUAUUGUGCGACCAUUGAGAUCCAUGCGGUUAGGAGUAGAGAUCAGGAAGACUGAACAAACAGGAUUCCUGUACAGACGUUUACCGGGUCCUUCUACCAAUCAGAGGAUCGCUUGACCCUGGCCCAGAUUCUGAAACAGGUCCAGUGUGGUCUGAGUGACUUGCUGGGACACUGCAAAGGACCAUACCCUGAGAAGGCAGUCGUCCAGGUAUAUAGAUCCCAAGGGAUCGAAGAGUGACCCUCAAAUCUUUUAACAGAUGGAGGGAGGCAUCUGUCUUUUCAGCAAAUAAUUUUGUCCCCUAAAAGGGGUAGUUCUCCACCGUCGUUUGGACCUCCUUGAGGAAGUCAGAGAUGAAGCCACGAGGCCUGUCUCAUCACAACGCAGUCAAAAUAGAACGUGCCACCGUCAAAUGCAUACUGGAGCGACUUUUUGCCACCAACUGGCUCUCAUUAACCAAGGCCUUAAAUUGGUCCUUGUGAGGAUGGGGAAGCUGUUCAAUAAAAGAACUAAAUUUCA
Molecule: long non-coding RNA, 2502 nt
Organism: Malaclemys terrapin pileata
Lineage: Eukaryota; Metazoa; Chordata; Testudines; Emydidae
Exons: 4
Source: RefSeq, a predicted model, not a curated record